AGAAGUUACUUAAGGGCGAACGGAGGAUGCCUUGGCUUCUAUGGGCGAAGAAGGACGUGGUAAGCUGCGAAAAGCUGCGGGGAUUUGCAAACGAGAUUUGAUCCGCGGAUAUCCGAAUGGGGCAACCCGGCUGGUUGAAGACCAGUCACGCAGAGAUGCGUGCCAACGCAGGGAACUGAAACAUCUUAGUACCUGCAGGAAAAGAAAGAAAAAUCGAUUCUCUGAGUAGUGGCGAGCGAAAGGGGAAUAGCCUAAACCGGGUCUGUUGAGGCAGAUUCGGGGUUGUAGGACCGCGAUAUUUGGUAUAAAUAAGAAGUGGAAUCAUAUGGGAAUAUGGGUCAUAGAGGGUGACAGCCCCGUACACGUAUAUAUUUAUAUUGAUAGCGGUAUCCUGAGUAGGGCGGGACACGAGGAAUCCUGUCUGAAUCUACGGGGACCAUCCCGUAAGGCUAAAUACCAAUAGAAGACCGAUAGUGUACCAGUACUGUGAAGGAAAGGUGAAAAGUACCCCGAACAGGGGGGUGAAAUAGAACCUGAAACCGUUCGCUUACAAGCGGUCGGAGUCCCGUAAGGGAUGACGGCGUGCCUUUUGCAUAAUGAGCCUACGAGUUGUUUCUCACUAGCGAGGUUAAGUACUUCAGGUACGGAGCCGAAGCGAAAGCGAGUCUUAAAAGGGCGAUUAGUUAGUGGGAACAGACGCGAAACCUUGUGAUCUACCCUUGACCAGGUUGAAGGAGCCGUAACAGGCUGUGGAGGACCGAACCAGUUUCCGUUGAAAAGGAUUUGGAUGAGUUGAGGGUAGGGGUGAAAGGCUAAUCAAACUGGGAGAUAGCUCGUACUCCCCGAAAUGUCUUUUGGGACAGCCUCAAGUAAUAGCUUAACGGAGGUAGAGCUACUGAUUGGAUGCGAGGGCUUCAUCGCCUAUCAAUUCCAGACAAACUCCGAAUGCCGUUAAGUGUUUCUUGGGAGUGAGUCGCCGGGUGCUAAUGUCCGGUGGCGAGAGGGAAAGAGCCCUGACCAACAGCUAAGGCCCCCAAACGUGUGUUAAGUUGAUAGAACGAUGUGUGGUUGCAGCGACAGCUAGGAUGUUAGCUUGGAAGCAGCUAUUCAUUUAAAGAGUGCGUAACAGCUCACUAGUCGAGCGACCGUGCGUGGAUAAUAAUCGGGCAUCAAACACACUGCCGAAGCUAUGGACUUUUUUUAAAGUGGUAGGGGAGCAUUCCAUUCAGCGACGAAGGUGAACUGUGAGGUUUGCUGGAGCGUAUGGAAAAGAAGAUGUAGGCAUAAGUAACGAUAAUGCAGGCGAGAAACCUGCACACCGAAAACCCAAGGUUUCCUGAUCAACGUUAAUCGGAUCAGGGUUAGUCGGGUCCUAAGGAUCAGCCGAAAGGUGUAUUCGAUGGACAAAUGGUUAAUAUUCCAUUACCUGUAUAUUGAGAGAGGGAGAGACGGAGUAGUGACACACACGCCAACUGACGGAAUAGUUGGUUAAAGGCCGUAGGUAUAGGAUCUGGUUAAGAGCUGGAUUUUGCUGAUGGUUUACAGUACAGUGAGUCUUCGGAUGAACUGAUAGUUGUGGUAAACAGACUUCCAAGAAAAUCUUCCAAUUGUUAAUUGAUAUGCAGCCCGUACCGUAAACCGACACAGGUGGGUGAGGAGAGAAUCCUAAGGUGCUCGAGUGAAUCAUGGCUAAGGAACUCGGCAAAUUAACCCCGUAACUUCGGGAGAAGGGGACCCUAGCGAUAGGGCGCAGAGAAAUGGCCCAGGCGACUGUUUAACAAAAACACAGGGCUUUGCUAAAUCGAAAGAUGACGAAUAAGGCCUGACACCUGCCCGGUGCUGGAAGGUUAAGAGGGGAUGUUAGCGCAAGCGAAGCAUUGAAUCGAAGCCCCAGUAAACGGCGGCCGUAACUAUAACGGUCCUAAGGUAGCGAAAUUCCUUGUCGGGUAAGUUCCGACCUGCACGAAUGGUGUAACGAUCUGGAUACUGUCUCAACCAUGAGCUCGGUGAAAUUGUAGUAGCGGUGAAGAUGCCGCUUACCCGCAACGGG
Molecule: ribosomal RNA, 2050 nt
Filed under: bioreactor sludge metagenome
Description: bacterial LSU rRNA
Rfam family: Bacterial large subunit ribosomal RNA
Source: RNAcentral